UGAUAGAGCAAUCAGGAACAGCAAACCUUUUUUUUAUGCAUCUGUCACAGGGACUCUCAAAUGGAUUCUCACUUUGGUUUCAGGUUUACCUCCAGAUGUGAUGUCUUCAGUCUGCUGUCAGUAAUGCAGUAAUCUCCAAAUGAAGCCUUUGAAAUUGGCUCUCCUUCAGGAUCCUAGUUUAGAAGAGCCCUUGAUUUCUGUUUUAGAAACUUGAGAGACAAGAAUACACAUGUGAAUAAGAGGAAGACAAAAGAAAAAAGAAAGCAGAAAAGGUAGUAAAUGUCAGCCUUCAGAAAGCACCAGAAUCAUCCAAAUAAGUGUAAUGACUCACAUUUAAAUUCCUUUUGAAAACCACACUACA
Molecule: non-coding RNA, 361 nt
Organism: Cyanistes caeruleus (blue tit)
Lineage: Eukaryota; Metazoa; Chordata; Aves; Passeriformes; Paridae
Source: RefSeq, a predicted model, not a curated record